GGGUUGUGAGGUUAAGCGACUAAGCGUACACGGUGGAUGCCCUGGCAGUCAGAGGCGAUGAAGGACGUGCUAAUCUGCGAAAAGCGUCGGUAAGGUGAUAUGAACCGUUAUAACCGGCGAUGUCCGAAUGGGGAAACCCAGUGCAAUUCGUUGCACUAUCGUUAACUGAAUACAUAGGUUAACGAGGCGAACCGGGGGAACUGAAACAUCUAAGUACCCCGAGGAAAAGAAAUCAACCGAGAUUCCCCCAGUAGCGGCGAGCGAACGGGGAGCAGCCCAGAGUCUGAAUCAGCUUGUGUGUUAGUGGAACGGUCUGGAAAGUCCGACGGUACAGGGUGAUAGUCCCGUACACCAAAAUGCACAGGCUGUGAACUCGAAGAGUAGGGCGGGACACGUGGUAUCCUGUCUGAAUAUGGGGGGACCAUCCUCCAAGGC
This 435-nucleotide ribosomal RNA is filed under the name Escherichia coli. RNAcentral describes it as "partial 23S ribosomal RNA". It matches the Rfam family "Bacterial large subunit ribosomal RNA", at positions 1 to 466 of the family's 2925-position model. The record is from RNAcentral. Lineage: Bacteria; Pseudomonadati; Pseudomonadota; Gammaproteobacteria; Enterobacterales; Enterobacteriaceae.